ACAGAUGAAAGGUUCCAAAGUUCCAGUACAUGAGAGCGUACAGGAGCGUCAGAUCAUUUUGGAGGUCAGUGAAACUCAAUGAUAAGGCAAAGUGGCAUUUACUAGCAAGUCAGCUGUCCAGAAGAAUGGUACCCAUCUGAGAUAAUAUAGUGGAUACCCACAAUGCACUUAAUAUAGAGAAUGAGAGAACGAGGAAAAUUGAAUAUUGGAAAGCAACGGUUUGUAUAAGACAAACCCACAUCCCUAUUUCCUUUAAGGUCAAAGAAUGAACUAGGCGACACUCUACCAAGAAACGAUAAAGCAGGAAAUGAAGAUCCUAACAUAGCUGAGGAUAUCAUCAUUGUAUCUAAUACGGUUUUAUUGACAAAACUAUACAGAUCUUAAAACAUACACACACACAAAACCUCAUAACUGCACAAAUGGCAUAUUAUUACUCUUUUUAACAUCUCUAUCUGAAUUAGAAUUACUAGGCCUUCAGAUAGUUCUGCUGGAACAGAUGUGACUGAAGAAUUUUAAAGCUUCUAUUUGCCAGUCUGACUACUUACCAUAUCCUCACCAAACCUCACCAACUGAUUACACCCUCUCCCAGCAGGCACUAAUUAAAACAGGACUUGUGCAAAGAGGAAAAGGCAGCAACCUCCCUCCCAGGCCAUGCUGUUGGGAACGAUAAAAACGAUAGGAAAACAAGACUAAUAAACGGAGCAUCCCAAAUUUACAAGAACAGUUUACAGGGCAAGAGAUAUAAAUCACAGCCUGAUUGCCAAAAGUGCUUCAGUUUUUAUCCCCAUUUGAUCCAAAGGCCUGAGUAAUUGGCCAUGAUGCAGGGACACCAUCUAAUGAAAUGUUUUAAUCGGGGAAGGGAGGCUGAGUCGGCUGCUACUAUCAAAAUGGCUCGUUGGAUUCCAGUGACUCACUAAAACUUUUAACACGAUCAAUUAUUUUUUUCAAAAAACAUUCCCCAGUCUGACUCGAGCACCUACCACCUGCUUUUCCAGUGUUAGGCUAUUCCUUUUCCUGUCCAAUUUAGAAACAACUCUGUCUCCCUAAGUGUACCACAAAAACCUGUGCGCUGCAUACUGAAUAAUCCUGGCACAUCAAUUCGGCAUGACACAAAUUCGCAGAGUGGACUGUUUUGCACAGGGCUAUUGUCCACAAACCAUUAUUUGUCAAAAAAACAAACAAAAGGAGUACAUCGCAGAGACUUUUACAUGAUACUUUCCCUGGUCCCUGAAAAUGUGAGAUAAUGAAUAAAAAUGUUCAUUACAGAA
Ornithorhynchus anatinus (platypus) is the source of this 1268-nucleotide long non-coding RNA. RefSeq lists it as uncharacterized. NCBI's taxonomy places the organism in Eukaryota, Metazoa, Chordata, Mammalia, Monotremata, Ornithorhynchidae. The transcript is spliced from 3 exons. The record is from RefSeq and is a predicted model, not a curated record.